AGUGAACGCUGGCGGUAGGCCUAACACAUGCAAGUCGAACGGCAGCACAGUAAGAGCUUGCUCUUACGGGUGGCGAGUGGCGGACGGGUGAGGAAUACAUCGGAAUCUACUUUUUCGUGGGGGAUAACGUAGGGAAACUUACGCUAAUACCGCAUACGACCUACGGGUGAAAGUAGGGGAUCUUCGGACCUUGCGCGAUUGAAUGAGCCGAUGUCGGAUUAGCUAGUUGGCGGGGUAAAGGCCCACCAAGGCGACGAUCCGUAGCUGGUCUGAGAGGAUGAUCAGCCACACUGGAACUGAGACACGGUCCAGACUCCUACGGGAGGCAGCAGUGGGGAAUAUUGGACAGUGGGCGCAAGCCUGAUCCAGCCAUACCGCGUGGGUGAAGAAGGCCUUCGGGUUGUAAAGCCCUUUUGUUGGGAAAGAAAAGCAGCAGGUUAAUACCCCGCUGUUCUGACGGUACCCAAAGAAUAAGCACCGGCUAACUUCGUG
RNAcentral lists this ribosomal RNA (492 nucleotides) under uncultured bacterium. RNAcentral describes it as "partial 16S ribosomal RNA". It matches the Rfam family "Bacterial small subunit ribosomal RNA", at positions 29 to 507 of the family's 1533-position model. The record is from RNAcentral.